This 497-nucleotide ribosomal RNA is filed under the name uncultured bacterium. RNAcentral's name for it is "partial 16S ribosomal RNA". It matches the Rfam family "Bacterial small subunit ribosomal RNA", at positions 28 to 507 of the family's 1533-position model. The record is from RNAcentral.
GAUGAACGCUGGCGGCGUGCCUAAUACAUGCAAGUCGAGCGAACGGAUGAGAAGCUUGCUUCUCUGAUGUUAGCGGCGGACGGGUGAGUAACACGUGGAUAACCUACCUAUAAGACUGGGAUAACUUCGGGAAACCGGAGCUAAUACCGGAUAAUAUUUUGAACCGCAUGGUUCAAAAGUGAAAGACGGUCUUGCUGUCACUUAUAGAUGGAUCCGCGCUGCAUUAGCUAGUUGGUAAGGUAACGGCUUACCAAGGCAACGAUGCAUAGCCGACCUGAGAGGGUGAUCGGCCACACUGGAACUGAGACACGGUCCAGACUCCUACGGGAGGCAGCAGUAGGGAAUCUUCCGCAAUGGGCGAAAGCCUGACGGAGCAACGCCGCGUGAGUGAUGAAGGUCUUCGGAUCGUAAAACUCUGUUAUUAGGGAAGAACAUAUGUGUAAGUAACUGUGCACAUCUUGACGGUACCUAAUCAGAAAGCCACGGCUAACUACGCG